Molecule: long non-coding RNA, 510 nt
Organism: Sycon ciliatum
Lineage: Eukaryota; Metazoa; Porifera; Calcarea; Leucosolenida; Sycettidae
Exons: 5
Source: RefSeq, a predicted model, not a curated record
GGCAUGGAUUGCUUGAAAACGAAGUUUCUUUCCCUGAAUUUGAACGCGCGUCUUCUUCAUCGUAUUCUUCAGUGCUGAAGGGUCUGCCUCAAGCUCUGAUGAAGACGUCGACCUUAGCUGCAGGUGCAGCGAAGCGGGAGGCCAAAAACUAAAGCUUGGUCCGUCGACAAUGCUCUGCCUCAAUUUCUAGCUGAUUUCGUUGCCCCUCGAGUGGACAAAAUAAAUUUGAAAAAUCGCUCUGGGAAGCGACAGGAACUAUACAACGAGAUGAGAAUGGUCAAUGUCAGUUUCUGAGCUGCGAACGGGCAGAAAGCUAUACAACGAGAUGAAGAUGGUCAUUGUCGGUUUCUGAUCUGCGAACGGGCAGAAAGAUAUACAACGAGAUGAGGAUGGUCAUUGUCAUUUUCGGAGCUGCGAACAGGCAGAAAGCUAUACAACGAGAUGAGAUCGGUCAUUGUCAUUUUCUGAGCUGCGCACCAUUACACGCAAAUGAGAAGAUGUAUAAAGAUA